Molecule: long non-coding RNA, 1253 nt
Filed under: Sus scrofa (pig)
Lineage: Eukaryota; Metazoa; Chordata; Mammalia; Artiodactyla; Suidae
Description: lncRNA (ENSSSCG00015025067.1)
Source: RNAcentral
AUGGCUUAAAAUAAAAUACAUAAAUAGCACCAUGGUAUGUGCACUGUUCUAAACUUAUCACAUCCUUUUUGUAGGGAUGAAACCUGGAUAAAAUGGCAAGUGAGAGCAGGCUUGAUCCACAGAAUCAGGGAUACAGCAAUAGCACACACAGGUGGGCAGCAGAAAACAGAUGUGGUACAGGAGAAAUGCACUCCCAGCUAAAAGAAAGACCUGUCACAAAAAGGCAGCUCAAAGGACUGAUGUGGCCACAGGUCCUGUUUGAGGUAACCAGGUCUGACCCGCUCUACAGGGCAGGGUUGAGGGCUGAUUACUGCCCAUGAAUAAGCUCAAAGACUCAGAGAUUUCAGAGUCUGAAGGGAAUUUCAGUAUCCCAUUUCAAUUCCUAACUGCUACAGAAUCAGGAACCAAAAAGCAAAGAAGUAAAGUGAUGGGCUCCAGCAGCCCAAAGGACCACGAGUCUAUUUUUCUCAUUUUGUGGUUUGUGGGGCAUGUUUGAGGAAGUGUUGGGGGACAGUUCAGAACCCAUGCCUCCUCUUCCUGCUGUGAGUCACUGAGCAGCUGAGCAGAGAAGCUCUGAUGAAAAACAAGGAGUUCUAGAAGCACUUGCUCCAGUAUAACCUAUUUUGUAAACAAUGCUAGGCACCUGGCGUGUCUUAGGAAUGAAUUCACACACAAGAAAAAGGUAUUUUCCUUAGAAGCUCCUCUAGCCUCCAAAGUUUGGUUUUAAUUGCCUUUGGAAAAUUGUGGAACCUUCAGUCUGUUCCAGGCCCUGUGCUAGAUUCAAAGGUGAACAAGAUGUAAUAAUGAAUAAGCCAUGUAUUUCCAGGAGUUCUAUGUCUCAUAGGGUAACAGAAGUGAAUACAAAUGAUGGUGAUGUAAUGUGAUAAACAUAACAAAAUCUGUAACACAGAAGAGGAAGUGAAUAAUUGCUGGGAAGAGGAGCUCGGGGGUAGACAGAGAAGGCUUCACAAAGGUGACAUCGGAGAAGAGACUUGUGGCUGCCUGAUGGGAGGGGGAGGGAGGGGGAGGGAUCGGGAGCUUGGGCUUAUCAGACACAACUUAGAAUAGAUUUACAAGGAGAUCCUGCUGAAUAGCAUUGAGAACUUUAUCUAGAUACUCAUGUUGCAACAGAACAAAGGGUGGGGGGAAAAUGAAAUUGUAAUGUAUACAUGUAAGGAUAACCUGCCCCCCUUGCUGUACAGUGGGGAAACAAAAAUCCAGAAAUAAACUUAUAUCAUGUCAAAAAAAAAAAA